Molecule: ribosomal RNA, 527 nt
Filed under: uncultured bacterium
Lineage: Bacteria
Description: bacterial SSU rRNA
Rfam family: Bacterial small subunit ribosomal RNA
Source: RNAcentral
ACAUCCAGAGAAUUUAGCAGAGAUGCUUUAGUGCCUUUCGGGAACUCUGAGACAGGUGCUGCAUGGCUGUCGUCAGCUCGUGUUGUGAAAUGUUGGGUUAAGUCCCGNAACGAGCGCAACCCUUAUCCUUUGUUGCCAGCACGUAAUGGUGGGAACUCAAAGGAGACUGCCGGUGAUAAACCGGAGGAAGGUGGGGAUGACGUCAAGUCAUCAUGGCCCUUACGAGUAGGGCUACACACGUGCUACAAUGGCGCAUACAAAGAGAAGCGACCUCGCGAGAGCAAGCGGACCUCAUAAAGUGCGUCGUAGUCCGGAUUGGAGUCUGCAACUCGACUCCAUGAAGUCGGAAUCGCUAGUAAUCGUAAAUCAGAAUGUUACGGUGAAUACGUUCCCGGGCCUUGUACACACCGCCCGUCACACCAUGGGAGUGGGUUGCAAAAGAAGUAGAUAGCUUAACCUUCGGGAGGGCGUUUACCACUUUGUGAUUCAUGACUGGGGUGAAGUCGUAACAAGGUAAGCGUAGUGCU